Paramuricea clavata is the source of this 494-nucleotide non-coding RNA. The record is from the annotation of a GenBank genome assembly. NCBI's taxonomy places the organism in Eukaryota, Metazoa, Cnidaria, Anthozoa, Malacalcyonacea, Plexauridae.
CCAGCAUCUUGUUGGCUUUCGACGAAAUCUCCUGCACUUGCUUGUUCAAUUUGAGGUAUGUCACCAGUUAUAAACAUGCCAAGAUCUUUCUGACUGUCAGGUCGGUUAACUGGGGUACCGAGCACCGUAUACUGUGUGAUGGUUCACGAGAUUUUGUAAGAUGCAGCACACCACAUGUAGUUUGGUUUAACUCCAUUUUUCAGUCGUGAGUCCCACGACACCAGUUGGUAAUGUUGUCCAAGUCAGAUUGAAGGGUUUUCUUGUCUUAAGAAUUUUUAAUAGGACGGUGGCAUUUGGUAUCGUCAGCAAAAAUUGGUAGUAUCGUGUGAGACAUAUUUCGGGAGAUCAUUGAUGUAAAUUAUAAAUAGAAGUGGCCCAAGAAUGAUCCCUGGGAAACACCUGAUAGAACUGGAAGUGGUUCUGAUGUAACACCAAGCGCAGUGACUCUUUGGGAUCGCCCAGAAAGGACGUCUCUGAACCAACGAAGAAGAUUU